CCCCCAGCCCAGGGCCUGUUAAGGAAAAGUUAGCACAUGUGACUCCCUUUUGGUUUGGGGCCCAGCAUUGUUUAAAUGCCAGCACAUCAUCCACCAGGAGGAGUGAUCCUUAGAUACUGAAUCCCUGUGAAAAUCCCCCUUGUCUCCAGCCUGCCUUGACUCCCAGUAUCUGGUUUUUGUCAGUCUCUAACUCCCUGUCUCUUGGCCUUGAUGUGAGGCCUCCCAUCCUAUUUACUGAUGCAUGGCUUUAGGACCAUGCUGUGUAAUUAACAUACUGGUAUAGCACGAGGAAUGCACCAAGCAGGGAUAGGUGGUAGAUGAGACAAGGGUUUGUUUAUUGGCUAAGGUUUCCGAUGCACGAGGGCAACAUGCUUUGCUAAAAAGUAUAUAACCUUUGUAUAAUCUGUAUUCAGGGUCCCCUCCUGGCUAGCAGGGGGGCACCACGCUCGAGCGUAAUAAACUUUUGGGAACUCUGCAGUUGUGGACUUUGUUUCUGUGCCUCAGCCUAGAUUCGAACUGUGCGUGUCCUCCCAGGUGUAAUUCGCAGCAGUUGUGUGCGUGUCCUCCCAGGUGUAAUUCGCAGCAUUGGUGUGCGUGUCCUCCCAGGUGUAAUUCGCAGCAUUGGUGUGCGUGUCCUCCCAGGUGUAAUUCGCAGCAUUGGUGUGCGUGUCCUCCCAGGUGUAAUUCGCAGCAGUGGUGUGCGUGUCCUCCCAGGUGUAAUUCGCAGCAUUGGUGUGCGUGUCCUCCCAGGUGUAAUUCGCAGCAGUGGUGUGCGUGUCCUCCCAGGUGUAAUUCGUAACAGGCCCCACCGCU
Non-coding RNA from Caretta caretta (loggerhead turtle), 813 nucleotides. The record is from RefSeq and is a predicted model, not a curated record. NCBI's taxonomy places the organism in Eukaryota, Metazoa, Chordata, Testudines, Cheloniidae.